Molecule: ribosomal RNA, 263 nt
Filed under: uncultured bacterium
Lineage: Bacteria
Description: partial 16S ribosomal RNA
Rfam family: Bacterial small subunit ribosomal RNA
Source: RNAcentral
GUCCACGCCGUAAACGAUGGGUGCUAGGUGUGGGAGGUGUCGACUCCUUCCGUGCCGCAGCUAACGCAUUAAGCACCCCGCCUGGGGAGUACGGCCGCAAGGCUAAAACUCAAAGGAAUUGACGGGGCCCCGCACAAGCAGCGGAGCAUGUGGUUUAAUUCGAUGCAACGCGAAGAACCUUACCAGGGCUUGACAUGGUCGGGAAAGCCGUAGAAAUACGGCCCUCCUUCUGGACUCGAUCACAGGUGGUGCAUGGCUGUCGU